Molecule: long non-coding RNA, 714 nt
Organism: Erinaceus europaeus (western European hedgehog)
Lineage: Eukaryota; Metazoa; Chordata; Mammalia; Eulipotyphla; Erinaceidae
Exons: 2
Source: RefSeq, a predicted model, not a curated record
GCUGGAGUAUACACAGACACUGGAGCUGGAGAAAUACAGAAGAAUGCCAAAGCAUGUGUGAUCGAGAUUGUGAAGCAGUCCACAAAGAUUACCAACAAGCCCAGCAUUCAGGAAGCAACUCGAUGCCCUUCUGAGACAAUGAAGACAUGUGUGGAGGACCUCGGGGCUGCUCAGGGAGCUCCAUAAUGAAGUCUGGCAUGCUGGCCCCAGCUCAAAGGGAGCCGUUGACUGACCUGCAGUGUGUGUGCUCUUUCCCCGGCUGCUGCCUCAGUGGGGCCAUCAGAGCAUCCAUGAGACUUGUUAGAGCUGUGGCACGACAGCUUUUGCGGCUGUCAGCGGGAGAUGGCUCUGAAUUCCUCAAGAUGUUUUAAAAAUGAAACAAAAAGGCACAAUUACACAGCCAAACAGAAAGCAAGACAGCUGCAUACAAAGCAGGACUUUCUCCAUAAUAGGAUGACAACCUCAGCUAGACAAUGCUGAAGUCUCACCUUCCUCCCCAGGCUGCAGCUGGGAGGCUUCGGUAAUUGGAUGCCCCACUGCUCUAGCUCCUGGAUUAUUCAAACUGAAGAAUCUCCAGAUGCCUCAGGUUUCAAUUAAGGAUAAGACCAGGCAACGUGGUCAGCAAGAUACCAUUUUUCACCCUUAGAUUCAGCAAUACACAUGGCCAAACCAGUAAUGGAUGUGAUAAUAAUAAAAUCAAAACUAUUUACUUUG